AGUGAACGCUGGCGGUAUGCCUAACACAUGCAAGUCGAACGGCAGGACAGUAAUAGCGUGCUCUUACGGGUUGCGAGUGGCGUACGGGUGAGGAAAACAUCGUAAUCUACAUUUUGGGGGGGGAUAACGAAGGUAAACUUACGCUAAUACCGCAGACGACCCUCCGUGGAAGGGGGUGGAUCGUCGGACCUGGUGGGAUUGAAUGAGCGGAUGUCGAAUUAGCUAGUUGGCGGGUUUAAGGCCCAGCAAGUCGACGAUCCGUAGCUGGUCUGUGAGGAUGAUAAGCCGCAUUGGACCUGGGACACGGUCAAGACUACUACGGGAGGCACCAGUGGGGAAUAUUGGACAGUGGGGGCAAGCCUGACACAGCCAUCCCAAGUGGGUGACAGAGGCCUUCGGGUUGUAAAGACCUUUUGUUGGGAGAGAACCGCUGCCGGUUGAUACCACGCUGUUGUGACGGUACCCAAAGAAUAAGCACCGGCUAACUUCGUG
This 492-nucleotide ribosomal RNA is filed under the name uncultured bacterium. Its description in RNAcentral is "partial 16S ribosomal RNA". It matches the Rfam family "Bacterial small subunit ribosomal RNA", at positions 29 to 507 of the family's 1533-position model. The record is from RNAcentral.